Molecule: transfer RNA, 76 nt
Filed under: Candidatus Peregrinibacteria bacterium CG1_02_41_10
Lineage: Bacteria; Candidatus Peregrinibacteriota
Also listed under: 1 other name
Description: tRNA-Trp
Rfam family: tRNA
About the family: Transfer RNA (tRNA) molecules are approximately 80 nucleotides in length. Their secondary structure includes four short double-helical elements and three loops (D, anti-codon, and T loops).
Source: RNAcentral
AGGCCCGUAGUGUCAGUGGUUAGCACGGCGGUCUCCAAAACCGCAAGGAGGGGUUCAAGUCCUCUCGGGCCUGCCA